This is a non-coding RNA of Pelobates cultripes (western spadefoot toad), 205 nucleotides long. The record is from the annotation of a GenBank genome assembly. NCBI's taxonomy places the organism in Eukaryota, Metazoa, Chordata, Amphibia, Anura, Pelobatidae.
AGCAGACCCUCCCACCUACUGGAAGGCAUCCAUUUUACAUUCAUUCUCAAGCUGCAUGCUUAGUGAGAGGAGGGAAAGUGUAGUUGCUGUUGAUUAGAUAGGGAAAUGCAUAGCUAGGUUAGGGUAUACAGUGUCCACUACAGUCCUGAAGGACUCAUCUGAUCUCUGCUGUAAGGACAGCACCCCAAAAAGCCCUUUUUAGGGC